AUUUUCCGCGCGAUUAUAAGCGAAUAAGAAACCAUAACAUUCCGACCAAUAGAAUAACAAUAAGGCGAAGCUGCGCGGGGACAUGUCAUUCUACCGCCGAAAAUUGUGUUGAUAGGACGUGUUACGCCGGCAGAGAUCGAUAUCGGAGAAAUAAUAGUUUAGAAUAUAUAUAAAGUGUACGAUGAUUUGUCAAUGACUUCCCUGCAAAUUUGUUUAGUUUUGUGUUGUAAGAAUUCGAUGUUAUUAGAGUAAAAUUUAUAUAGAGUUCAUUAAAGUGUCAGAAGUCAAUUCACCAAGAAAAUAAUGGAAUUAUCUCUCAUGUGAAAAGAUGGUAGGCGACAGGACACGUGACGUCACAGGACUCGAAGCUCCCGAGCGUUCCUAGCGGCAGUUCUCAGAAGUACGUUCACUCGAUAGGACGAUUGUCGUCUGGCGCACGACAAGCUUCAAGCAAUAUGGCGAAGUGUGUCAUGGGCUCGGUGAGACGUAGUGUCGUUUGAAAAGAUGAAAAGUUCGCGGAAUGGGUUGAGAAUAAUGUAGCGCUAUGAAGAUCGUGUGAAUAUUAUAUUUGUGUAUUCAAAAGCAUUGAGUUGUUCCUUGUGAUCGGGAUAUACAGUGCGCGUUACCGGUGUGAAAUCAUGGCUACGGAUAAAAUAAAGGUUGCCGUUCGGGUUCGGCCGUUCAAUCGUAGAGAGCUGGAACUCGGUACACAAUGCGUGGUCGAAAUGUCCGGACAGCAAACCAUCCUUCAGCAUCCCACCACGAUGGACAAGAUCGAACGGAUUGAUUUUUUUUAAACCACGUGUUCACAGCAUGGUGCAAUUAUUCUGUGAUAAACUGGAUGGAAAGAGGUUGGAUCGUGUAUUUCAAUUCAAACGAAAUCACAGAGAUUAUUGAGUUAUUUUAAGGACAGAUAGAUAUAUAAUUUUGUAACAAUGGGUAAGAAUUUAAGAUUUAAAAUUGAUCAGAGAUCCAUUGUGUCAAUUAUCGUAUCGUGCAAUCUGUUUUUAGAUUGAAAAUUGUUAACUUUAUAUAGAGACUCUGAACUAGAGACUCUUUUUCUUUUUUUUGUUUAAAGAUUGAUAAGACGUUGUUUUAUCUGUGUACAUUAUAGAUUGGAAUUGUUCGAGGCGAAAAAUAUAUUUUUAACGUUUGUGGAUGCAAGAGUGCAAUCUCGACUUUCUUUCGAUAUCUGGAAUUUAGAAGAAGAAAAAUACGAUUAUCAUGAGAAAAGAAGAUUAUAUAAAUAUUGUAAAUUACAAUAUUUAUGACAAUAUAUUCAGGAAUCGUAUAUCUCGAAGUUAUUAGAAAAAUCCAUGAUAUGAAUGAACAAAAUAAUUUAUUCGAAAGAAGCUUUUAUACAAGAUUUAAAUUAGACGAAUAAAAAUCGUUGCAUGGCGCUAUUAUCGCAUCGAUAAGAAGCGGAAUACAGCAUACGCCGCCAUUCGUUAGAUAAUUAGAUCAUACAAUCUUAUCAAUGUGAAUAGAUAACAUCGAACAUCUACGCAAACAUCGAGCAGGAAAUCCAUAAAAAGAAUUCCAAAACGAAUUUAUUGAAUUGGAUUGAAGAAAAGAUAUCUAAAAAUCUUGUUUUUCCAUUUAACCCUUCGAUAUAAUAACACACGAAGAAUGGAUAGAGAAAUUAAUAAUUAAUUAAUCAAAGAAAGAUCGUAGUAAAAGUAAGGGACGAGAGAAAAGGCGAGGAUAGCCAAUUUCCAAUUCUCUUAAAUCUUUUUCCUUUCAGAAAAGGAAAAGGAGAGGUUGCAAGAGUUUUUUUGAUUACACGGCCCGAGGCGUGUCGUUUACGCGUGAAAAGAUUCCUCUCCCUUUGAGAAGAGGCCGAUCUAUCGGAGAAAAAGGAACAAUGAGCCAAACACAAGAGUGUGUGCCUCCUUUCGAGACUAUUUUUUUUUUUUUUUUUUUUAAAUACCCUUGUUUGCCCACCUUCCCCUCCGAGCGAUAUUCCACCGGUUCUCAUUCAUUUAUCGAUUCCACCAUUUGCUCCUCUUCUCUCUUACUCGAGCUGCGAUUGGCUCUCGCCAUACGUGUGGUUUAUUGGUUUCUUUCUCUCUUUUUUUAAUUUCCUUUUUUUUUCCCUAUCUACGUAGCAUCGGCGUAGAAUUUCUUUCAUCUUCUUUCUUCUCGGCUGGCAAUCGUACGAUCUUUGAUUGGAUUGUGUAUUAUUGGAAACUGGAAAAGGAAUCUGGGUUGGUGAGGGGGACAUAUUCGAUGAUUGGUUUAAGUUUUGCUUUUUCCUUUUUGUUUUGAGUAAAUAGAGUAGAUUUAAUUACUUCUUCUUCUCCCUCUUUGAAUCUCUUUAAAUUUUAUUCUACCAAUACUCGAAUUAGAUCGAAGAUUUUUUUCUAUGUUUAUGCAUGAGAUAAGAUUUGUUGACAGGAUUUUUAUUAAAACUUCAAAUAAGAUUUUCUGUUAUUUCUCUCAAUUACUUUUUUUUAUAAUUGGCACCAAUAACUUGACAAGGAAAUUAUAGAUCGUUUCUCAAUAUUUUUAUUCGGAUCUCGACUCUAUCACUUUAUCAAAACUCGUUCAAAAACGUUUCGUGAAUAAUAGUAAUCGUACUUGACAUCGUGAACAGAUACGAGUGCACUCGUACACUAAUGAGAACUUGAGCGCGAUUCUCGAAGUAUCUAAUUGAUCGAAAUCCAAAUUUCAUAUCGAUUCACAUUCUCGAAUGUCUCGUUCAAUAAUCAUUCGAUGCCUUCGAGGGUUGAAAAAUUUCUUUCGCACAAAUCGUGACCGAGAUUAAAAUUUAACUUUUAUCUUUAUUGGACAUUUUAGAAAAUUUUCUUUUCAAAGGAUCGAUAGUUUGGAAAGGAGAUAAACGAAUUUGUAGAUCCUGGGGGGAGGGAAAAUAUCGGGAGAGGGAAGUUGCUUUCGCUUUGUCUCGAACUCUCUCUCGAACUCGACGCUUAUUGCAUAAUUGAAGGAUCCUGGUAAAAGGCCAUUCAUGGUGGAUGCAACGAUAUAGUAUCGGCCGUCGAAAUUAUUCAACGAACGUCACCGGAUAAUAAUUCGUGGAUGGGAUUGAACGCGGGGAUGUGAAAACUUUUACUAGAUGGACCGUGGAAUUGAAUUUUGAAAGAGGGUUGAUGAAAAAUUGAGGGAAUUUUGGAAACAAUUUUUUUUGCAGGAUUUCGGGGUUGGAAGAGGGAUAAAUUUUGAAAUAGUAACGAAAAUGUUUGAAAGGAUGAUUUUACACGUCAUAGAGAAAUAAUGAAUAUAGUGGAAAAAUAGGAUUUGGAAGAUUAUUGAAGCGUGGAAAAUGGUUAGAAUAAUUUUACAAAAAAAAGAAAAGAAGUGAAUCUUAAGAAUUAAAAUAGAGUAUCAAUUUUAAGGAAUUAAAAUAAUUUUCAUACUAAGAAAAAAAUAUCAAAGUUUUGAAAGUUGAUUUUACGUAAUGGAAUAAUUUUUCGUGACUUUCGUCGUAAAAAAGGGGAAGGUUGGAAAUAGUUUCAUGUGAUAAAGAGAAAGGUUAAGGGGUUAGAGUAGUUUCGUUGGAGUAUAUAAUGGAGUAUAUAAUAAUUUUAUAACGAUAGAGGAAAAUUAAAGGGGCGAAAAGAAAAUGGAUGGAAAGAAAAAAAAAAAGAAAUGUAAAACAAAAGCAUUAAAGUAGAAUUCUAUGAAAUAAUAAAAUGACGAAGAAUUAAUGCAGUUAUAUCUGUGUCGAGAGGAAGGAACACGUAGGCGUUUGAUAUUACUUUGAUUUAAAAUUUAUUUAUAUCAUAAAGAUACAAAGCGUUACAAUUGCAUUAUGUUACAGUAAUACAACUUAAUGCAUUCAAUAUGCAUAGAAUUUUUUUUCAACUCAACGUUUCGACUUUUCUUCAAAUCCAUUCGUUUUAAAUUACUCUUCGUUUAUAAUAUUCUCCCCUUUACAUUUUCAUACAUUCUUUUCACGUAUUCUUUUAAAAGUAUAUCGUUGAUCCAAUUCAAUCGACUUAUAAAAGAAUACACGAUCAAUUACCAUAUAUUACAUUUCCUUUCGAUGCAAUCGAUGAGUUCAAUCAUUAAUUGUCACAUUAAAGCAAACUAGAGUAUUAUAAAUCUCUCUAAGAAUAGAUGGAACAAGGACACUGAAUUAAGCAUAUAAAAAGCUGGAAAGCUCGUAUCUCGAUAAAAAAUAUACUCGUCUUAAUUAUCAACUCAAUUCGAAAUCCGUUCAAGGAAGAUAAACGCGGAAGAUUGAUAAGAGACUUUUGUCCAAGAGUUUGUCUGUAUCCAUGUAAAUCCUUUGGUACAGUUCCAUUAAGAUUCAUGGCCCCGGCGUCAGAUCGGAUUUUGAAGAAUCGGCGAAGUGGGACGAAUCGAGACGACGAUGUUUGCAAAAGUUUAAGUAGCAAACUUUCGAUGCGGAACGUGUCCGUGAAAUCGUGGAUAACACGAGGUGGGAUCACGAGGGAAUAAAGAUUCCACGUUUGUGUAUCGUAAAUUUUACACCGUAUAAAACGGUGGCUAGGAAGAGCAGGUUAUCAAGGGUGGAUGAAAAGUAUAUAUAUCUGCAGGAUAAGGUUAUUUUCAAUUUCACUUGCAACUUAAUCUCCUUGAUAUCCCAACAAUCAUUAUAUUAUUAUUAUCAAGAAUGGAAUAAUUACAAUUUAUUUCGUAUAAUUCUAUAAUUUGUCAAAAGUAAAUUAAUUAUCGUAGAAGAACAAUUUAUUAUUACAAUUUAUUCGUACGUAUCUUGUACAAUGGAAUUUCCAAUAUAAAAACGAAUCCAUUCUUUCCAAGCUUGUUUUCUUUGUUGUCAAAUUUCAAGAAAAUUGCAUUAAGCAGAAGGAACUUAUCGCGCUCGAUUACCCACGGUUAAUUAUCUUACACGGGUAAUUAUUAAAAGAACGGCCGUGAGAGUGGGCGUAUAUAUACGCGUGCAGGUAUUCACGCGGUGACUUUAGAUAUGAUUAGCCGUCGAGCGGAAAAACAGGUAGCAUUAAUUAUCAUGGUCCGCGCAAGCGUUAGCUUCAUUAGCAUCAGACCUUGCCUCGUAACGAGCCAUCGGUUAGUCAAGUUCAAUACUGUUGCAACGUUUCCACUUCGAUAAAGAGGAAGUUUAAAGGCAUGUAAAUCUCGUUUUCUGCGGUACCCGUAGGCGUGGAGGUAUGUAAGAAAUACGAGUAUCCAAAGUAUCUAUCCAAACUGCAUAAAAAAUCGUAAAAGUCAUUCGUCUCGAUUAAUCGAUCGCAAGGCUAUUUAUCUUCUUUAAUAUUUAUCGAUCGACCAAGUGACGAGAUGCUCGAAGGAUGUCAUCCUGAAUAUGGAGAAGCUGCCUUGAAGGGAAUGUAAGGGGAGGAAGGAAGGAAUCGAAGUAGUCAGGUAUCGUGUGCAUUUAUAUUUAUAAACGGUGACGUAUGUCUCCUCUCUGAUUCGUUGCCUGCGAUUCCUGGCAAGUGGACAUUAACAUUAUCGUCGCCACGUUGUACAAUUAACGAAGAAGAAUAUUUCGUGACAGGACUGUUUGAGCGACAAUUGUUUUUUUCGACGAAGGGACGAGGUGUGAAUCCUUGGCGAUCCUCUGCGGAUGCAAUUAGGGAAGGAUGUUUUUAUCCUCUCUGAAUUUUAGAUUUGAGAUUUUUGAGGAAGGAAGGGAGAAAAAUUUGUCGAAUUUUUUUUUUUUUUAAAUUGUUAAAGGACGUUUUGGAAUGUUCAAAGAAUGCGAACUUUUUUUGGAGGAAUUUGAAUUCUUGGAUUUAAAAUUUUACAAAAAAUUUCGAAAUUUUGGAUAUUCAAGGGAAGUUUUAGAAUUGUCUCUUAUUAUUUCAAGUUUUAUAUAAAAGGGAUAAUUUAUUUCAUACGAGAUCCCUUUCUUGCUUUCAGUAAGUGUAUUCGUUCUUUUUUUCUUCAAACAAUGAGCAAACGUCCCCAAACGCAAUUCUUAUCUAAUGAGAUUGUUCCACAAAACGGGUUGGACAAAAAGUAACAAUUUCUUUUUCUUGACUCGCAAGGAGGAGGAGAAGGAGGAAAGGACCAAUUGCGCUUUAGCAUUCCUGGCUGGCAAAGGGAAUUUGCACGGAAAUUGAAUUGCAUAAUGAAGACGGACAGACGUUCGCGACAAUAGCGACGAAUAGCGAGCGAUUCAAUUUCCAAGUUGCUACGUAUGGAGAACUUGGUGGAGCGCUUCAAAAGCGACAACUUUCUCUGGUCAUAAAACCGUGAAAGUCUAAACUCGUCCCUAAUAUCCAUAGUCGUUCAAUUUCUCUUCUGGAAUAGUCAAAAAUAAGUAAUUUCAAUUGUGCUC
Apis mellifera (honey bee) is the source of this 6253-nucleotide RNA transcript. It is a transcript of the gene named kinesin 3A, with no coding region annotated. The transcript is spliced from 8 exons. Lineage: Eukaryota; Metazoa; Arthropoda; Insecta; Hymenoptera; Apidae. The record is from RefSeq and is a predicted model, not a curated record.